ACUGGUGUAGUGAUUAUGUUUUCCGUUUCGGCCGGAGAUAAGGUAGUGAGUACCCUACACUUGUG
Molecule: transfer RNA, 65 nt
Filed under: Haplobothrium globuliforme
Lineage: Eukaryota; Metazoa; Platyhelminthes; Cestoda; Haplobothriidea; Haplobothriidae
Description: tRNA-Arg
Source: RNAcentral